RNAcentral lists this ribosomal RNA (253 nucleotides) under uncultured bacterium. RNAcentral's name for it is "partial 16S ribosomal RNA". It matches the Rfam family "Bacterial small subunit ribosomal RNA", at positions 524 to 776 of the family's 1533-position model. The record is from RNAcentral.
UACGGAGGGAGCUAGCGUUGUUCGGAAUUACUGGGCGUAAAGCGCGCGUAGGCGGCUUUGUAAGUUAGAGGUGAAAGCCCGGGGCUCAACCCCGGAACUGCCUUUAAGACUGCAUCGCCUGAAUCCGGGAGAGGUGAGUGGAAUUCCGAGUGUAGAGGUGAAAUUCGUAGAUAUUCGGAAGAACACCAGUGGCGAAGGCGGCUCACUGGACCGGUAUUGACGCUGUGACGCGAAAGCGUGGGGAGCAAACAGG